CCUACGGGAGGCAGCAGUAGGGAAUAUUGCUCAAUGGGGGAAACCCUGAAGCAGCAACGCCGCGUGGAGGAUGAAGGUUUUCGGAUUGUAAACUCCUUUUGGUAGGGAAGAUAAUGACGGUAUCUAACGAAUAAGCACCGGCUAACUCCGUGCCAGCAGCCGCGGUAAUACGUAGGGUGCAAGCGUUACUCGGAAUCACUGGGCGUAAAGAGCGCGUAGGCGGGGUUGCAAGUCAGAUGUGAAAUCCUAGGGCUUAACCAUAGAACUGCAUUUGAAACUGUUAUUCUAGAGUAUGGGAGGGGUAGGUGGAAUUCUUGGUGUAGGGGUAAAAUCCGUAGAGAUCAAGAGGAAUACUCAUUGCGAAGGCGACCUGCUAGAACAUAACUGACGCUGAUGCGCGAAAGCGUGGGGAGCAAACAGGAUUAGAUACCCCGGUAGUC
Molecule: ribosomal RNA, 440 nt
Filed under: uncultured bacterium
Lineage: Bacteria
Description: partial 16S ribosomal RNA
Rfam family: Bacterial small subunit ribosomal RNA
Source: RNAcentral